GAUCAUGGCUCAGGAUGAACGCUGGCGGCGUGCUUAACACAUGCAAGUCGAACGGAGUUUUAACGGAAGUUUCGGAUGGAAGUUUAAGAACUUAGUGGCGGACGGGUGAGUAACGCGUGGGUAACCUGCCUCAUACAGGGGGAUAACAGUUAGAAAUGACUGCUAACACCGCAUAAUAUAGCGAAACCGCAUGAUUUUGCUAUCAAAUAUUUAUAGGUAUGAGAUGGGCCCGCGUCUGAUUAGCUAGUUGGUGGGGUAAAAGCCUACCAAGGCGACGAUCAGUAGCCGGCUUGAGAGAGUGACCGGCCACAUUGGGACUGAGACACGGCCCAAACUCCUACGGGAGGCAGCAGUGGGGAAUAUUGGACAAUGGGGGAAACCCUGAUCCAGCGAACCGCCGCGUGAGUGAAGAAGUAUUUCGGUAUGUAAAGCUCUAUCAGCAGGGAAGAUAAUGACAGUACCUGACUAAGAAGCCCCGGCUAACUACGUGCCAGCAGCCGC
Molecule: ribosomal RNA, 501 nt
Filed under: uncultured bacterium
Lineage: Bacteria
Description: bacterial SSU rRNA
Rfam family: Bacterial small subunit ribosomal RNA
Source: RNAcentral